Molecule: ribosomal RNA, 402 nt
Filed under: bacterium
Lineage: Bacteria
Description: partial 16S ribosomal RNA
Rfam family: Bacterial small subunit ribosomal RNA
Source: RNAcentral
UGAGGAAUUUUGCACAAUGGGGGAAACCCUGAUGCAGCGACGCCGCGUGAUUUAGAAGGCCUUCGGGUUGUAAAAAUCUUUUCUAUGGGAAGAAAAUGACAGUACCAUAGGAAUAAGGACCGGCUAAUUACGUGCCAGCAGCCGCGGUAAUACGUAAGGUCCGAGCGUUGUCCGGAAUCAUUGGGCGUAAAGGGUACGUAGGCGGGUAAGCAAGUUAGAAGUGAAAUCCUAUAGCUCAACUAUAGUAAGCUUUUAAAACUGCUCAUCUUGAGGUAUGGAAGGGAAAGUGGAAUUCCUAGUGUAGCGGUGAAAUGCGCAGAUAUUAGGAGGAAUACCGGUGGCGAAGGCGACUUUCUGGCCAUAACCUGACGCUGAGGUACGAAAGCGUGGGUAGCAAACAGG